UAUACAUCAUAUACACGCGGGUGUGGGGAGACUAUUGAAAAGACACCAGUUAUCACCACAACUCUGUGUUUACUGUGAGCUGACCAAUGGGAGGAGGGAUAAAUUAUAGGCGUUCACGUGCAGCAGGAUCCAGGCUGCAGCAGGUGCUGCUGAGUGUCUGAUGAUGUCACCGGGGGUAUAAAACGCACGGCUGCCGCUCCAGUUUCAUUCACCUUUUCAUUAACCGGAGGACCCGAACAGCGCAGAGAGUCCAGCCUUUGGUCACACUCAGCACCGAGAUGAAUAAGAUGUGUUUAGCUCACCUUGGAGUUUUCCUCCUGGCUCUCCAUCUCCUCUCAUCACAGGUGGUCCAGGCUCAGGCAGGCAAAAAUAUGACCAGUAUGUCCAACUCGACAUCCUACAACAUGACUACCAUGGGCCCGGUGAACGUGACGUCCGCAGAUAAGAACGGCUCUGGGAGUAUCGACGCCUUCACAAUGCUCCUCCCGCUGGCUGUCAUAGCUUCUCUCCUCUACGGCUGGUCCCAAUGACCGGACUGAUGGCUCUUGGCACUGGACACAGACCUGCCAAGACUGGCUGGGGCUGGACUGGGGACGCAACGUUAUUCCAAGAGCAGUUCUCUUUAAAAAAAAAAAAAAAGCCCUGUCCAUAAACGCAUUUUGGAUUUCACCAAAGCAUUUUGCCUGUCCUCAUUUUGGGAAUUUGUGUUUGAAAGAAGCGUGCACUCUGGGCAAUGGCAGCCCAGAGUGCGUGUCCGUCCUCACGCACCGACCGGUGACGCGCCCCGCUGCUCUCGUCCUGUCCCGCUGAUCUUUGCAGGGUCCCUCCAUGGACUAUAUCAAAACUUCCCCUUUUCCAGGAAACCGCCGGUCUCUCUCGGAUGGGACUGCCUUCAAAAGGGGAGUGGGAGAGAAGAGUUAUUUGGUAUCUUAUUCCCCACUGCGUGCCCAGAAAGCAUCAUGGAUACUUGACCAGGCUUCGUAGGCCCAAAUGUGAUUGUAAACAAGAUUAGAAAAUGUCACAUUACAAAUUCUGGAAAUAUGUGUGUAAAAUGAUUGCUUUUAAAUCUUAAAAUUUGUAAGUCCAAUAAAGCUUUGAAUUGUAAGUGA
Larimichthys crocea (large yellow croaker) is the source of this 1109-nucleotide long non-coding RNA. RefSeq lists it as uncharacterized. The transcript has 2 exons. Lineage: Eukaryota; Metazoa; Chordata; Actinopteri; Sciaenidae. The record is from RefSeq and is a predicted model, not a curated record.